AAAUCCUUGGUGGCGCAGUCGUCCAGGACGGU
RNAcentral lists this small RNA (32 nucleotides) under Bombyx mori (domestic silkworm). RNAcentral's name for it is "ovarian small RNA-4203". Lineage: Eukaryota; Metazoa; Arthropoda; Insecta; Lepidoptera; Bombycidae. The record is from RNAcentral.